CCGGGGAAUAUUGGACAAUGGGCGAAAGCCUGAUCCAGCGACGCCGCGUGUCGGAAGGAGUCCUUCGGGAUGUAAACGACUUUUGGUGGAGACGAAUAAGCAGCUCAGGGAAUGGGGCUGUGAUGACGGUAUCCAUGGAAUAAGCCCCGGCUAACUACGUGCCAGCAGCCGCGGUAAGACGUAGGGGGCAAGCGUUACCCGGAAUUACUGGGCGUAAAGGGAGCGUAGGCGGGAGGUCAAGUCCGGUGUGAAAGACCCUGGCUCAACCAGGGAUGAGGGCUGGAAACUGACAAUCUUGAGUACAGCAGAGGAAGUGGGAAUUACCGGUGUAGGGGUGAAAUCCGUAGAGACCGGUAAGAAGGCCAGUGGCGAAGGCGCUUUUCUGGGCUGUUACUGACGCUGAGGCUCGAAAGCCAGGGGAGCAAACCG
RNAcentral lists this ribosomal RNA (429 nucleotides) under uncultured bacterium. RNAcentral describes it as "bacterial SSU rRNA". It matches the Rfam family "Bacterial small subunit ribosomal RNA", at positions 354 to 775 of the family's 1533-position model. The record is from RNAcentral.